Molecule: long non-coding RNA, 473 nt
Filed under: Vigna radiata
Lineage: Eukaryota; Viridiplantae; Streptophyta; Magnoliopsida; Fabales; Fabaceae
Description: long non-coding RNA (VRAD_LNC010115)
Source: RNAcentral
UUGGGUACAACAUGAACAGGACUUACCCACUCACUAUCAGAAAUUGGGUAGAUAAUUCCUGCAUCNAGCAAUUUAAUUACUUCUUUCCUUACCACUUCCUUCAUAGUCGGGUUGAGUCUUCUUUGUGGUUGACGCACAGGUUUGAAAUCGUCUUCCAAAUAAAUUUUAUGCAUGCACACAGUAGGACUAAUACCUUGCAAAUCAUCAAUUUUCCACCCAAUGGCAGAUUUAUACUCCCGCAACACCCUUAAGAGUUUAUCUUCUUCAGUGGAGGAAAGUUCAUUGCUCACAAUUACUGGAUUAAGCUUUUGCUCAUCUAGGAACCUGUAUUUAAGGUGAGAAGGAAGUUGUUUCAAUUCCACCUUGGACGUUUCUACUCCUCCAUCUUCCCUCUUGUGUAAAUCUUCUAUUCCUCUAGUGGAAUUGAAUAUUGGCUUUAGCACUUCCAAUUGAUGAGUGCACUUCACCACCUC